RNAcentral lists this small nuclear RNA (136 nucleotides) under Erysiphe necator (grape powdery mildew). RNAcentral's name for it is "U4 spliceosomal RNA". It matches the Rfam family "U4 spliceosomal RNA". From Rfam's summary of the family: U4 small nuclear RNA (U4 snRNA) is a component of the major U2-dependent spliceosome. The record is from Rfam by way of RNAcentral. Lineage: Eukaryota; Fungi; Ascomycota; Leotiomycetes; Helotiales; Erysiphaceae.
AUCCUAGUGCAUGGGUAUUACGCAUAUCAGUGAGGAUUCGUCCGAGAUUGCGUAUUUGCUAGUUGAAAACUAUAACCAUGACCGCUCUUAAUCUGCUUCGGCAGGUUAAGGAAUUUUUGAGAAAUAACAACAUUGU